UGGGGAAUAUUGGACAAUGGGCGAAAGCCUGAUCCAGCCAUGCCGCGUGUGUGAAGAAGGUCUUCGGAUUGUAAAGCACUUUAAGUUGGGAGGAAGGGCAGUAAGCUAAUACCUUGCUGUUUUUGACGUUACCGACAGAAUAAGCACCGGCUAACUCUGUGCCAG
This 165-nucleotide ribosomal RNA is filed under the name uncultured bacterium. RNAcentral describes it as "partial 16S rRNA". It matches the Rfam family "Bacterial small subunit ribosomal RNA", at positions 355 to 511 of the family's 1533-position model. The record is from RNAcentral.